GACGAACGCUGGCGGCGUGCUUAACACAUGCAAGUCGAACGGAAAGGCCCUGCUUGCCGGGUGCUCGAGUGGCGAACGGGUGAGUAACACGUGGGUGAUCUGCCCCUUACUUUGGGAUAAGCCUGGUAAACUGGGUCUAAUACUGGCUAGGACCAUGCUGUAGGUGGUGUGGUGAAAGAUUAGUUUCGGUAAGGGUUGCGCUCGCGGCCUAUCAGCUUGUUGGUGGGGUAAUGGCCUACCAAGGCGUCUACGGGUAGCCGGCCUGAGAGGGUGGACGGCCAGGUCGGGACUGCGACACGGGCCAGACGCAUGCGGGAGGCAGCAGUGGGGAAUAGUGUAAAAUGGGAGCAAGCCUGAUGUAGCGACGGCGCGUGGGGGAUGACGGUCUUCGGGUUGUAAAGUACUAACAGCCAUGAAGAAGCGCUUGUGGUGACGGUAGUGGUAGAAGAAGCACCGGCUAACUACGUG
Molecule: ribosomal RNA, 468 nt
Filed under: uncultured bacterium
Lineage: Bacteria
Description: partial 16S ribosomal RNA
Rfam family: Bacterial small subunit ribosomal RNA
Source: RNAcentral